RNAcentral lists this ribosomal RNA (253 nucleotides) under uncultured bacterium. RNAcentral's name for it is "partial 16S ribosomal RNA". It matches the Rfam family "Bacterial small subunit ribosomal RNA", at positions 524 to 776 of the family's 1533-position model. The record is from RNAcentral.
UACGUAGGGUGCAAGCGUUGUCCGGAAUUAUUGGGCGUAAAGAGCUCGUAGGCGGUUUGUCGCGUCCGCUGUGAAAACUCAGGGCUUAACCCUGAGCCUGCAGUGGGUACGGGCAGACUAGAGUGUGGUAGGGGAGAUCGGAAUUCCUGGUGUAGCGGUGGAAUGCGCAGAUAUCAGGAGGAACACCGGUGGCGAAGGCGGAUCUCUGGGCCGACACUGACGCUGAGGCGCGAAAGCCAGGGGAGCGAGCGGG